Long non-coding RNA from Eucalyptus grandis, 956 nucleotides. RefSeq lists it as uncharacterized. The record is from RefSeq and is a predicted model, not a curated record. Lineage: Eukaryota; Viridiplantae; Streptophyta; Magnoliopsida; Myrtales; Myrtaceae. The transcript is spliced from 4 exons.
GCGGAAGUAAUGACUGAUGGGGCGCCGAUUCAAACCGGGGAGGACGGUCGGCGAGCCAAGGACCGGCGACCGAAGCCUCCGUCGGCCGGCCUCCUCCACCAAAUAAAUAGGCCUUCUGCGAGAGAAGAUGGGGAGGAGCAAGCUCAUCAGAGGACUCCUCCCGUUGCUUCUGUCGUCGCCUGCGCCCAUGGACGUCGCCGUCCCGUCCCGUGACGAUCCAGCCCCUCGCUGGUCGCAGCCAAUACCUUGUUACGUCAAUCCAUGAGAAUUGGUUCUGCGCAAGAUGCAUCAGCGCAUCAAAUUCUGCUGGUGAAGGGGCUUUUGUCAUGCAGACGACGGCUUUCAUCUUGGUGGCACUGUAUGAUGGUUCCAUUGGAGCGGCAUCGGGUGCUGUAAUGGCUGCUGAUCAAUUUGCAUGGCAGUUAAAUCGAAGAAACCUUUGACCUUGCAGUGAAGUUGAAAUUGUAUGGUUCGUCCGCAGACUUUUUCCCUACCUGUCUGAGCCAAAUACUGGCAGAUGGAGAUCCUGAUAGUCCAAUGAAUUCAUUCCGCAAAUCUGUCAUUGAUGGCAAGGAGAUCAUCUUUCUUGCUAACGUGCAAGUUCGUCACUGCUGUGCUCAGAAUGUUUGAACAAGACAAACUCUAGGAGGGUCGGCAGUUUUUGGCAAAAUUUUCAAGCAACUAGUAUUCACAGGCGCUGGACUUUGAUUAGGAUGAAUUAGGUAGAGGACUCUCUGAGUUGAAAAUCAUGUGAGAUCGUUGGUCUGCUAUUUGCUAUUUGGCCGUGCUGGUAUUGGGUGAAGGUCUUGCUGGUGUCUGCAUUGUGAUUUUCCUCUGUACAAAGAUCGUUAUAUAAGUUUGUUCAGCCGGCUUAUUAAUGUCAUCAUUUUUAUAACUGGAUUCAUGCCGAUAAUAGAAAUUAGAAGAGGGAUGAAACUGUGCUUGGAUUAAUUACA